UACAGAGGUCUCGAGCGUUGUUCGGAUUCAUUGGGCGUAAAGGGUGCGUAGGCGGCGAGGUAAGUCGGAUGUGAAAUCCCGGGGCUCAACCCCGGAACUGCAUUCGAUACUGCCCCGCUUGAGGACUGGAGAGGAGACUGGAAUUCACGGUGUAGCAGUGAUAUGCGUAGAUAUCGUGAGGAAGACCGGUGGCGAAGGCGGGUCUCUGGACAGUUCCUGACGCUGAGGCACGAAGGCCAGGGGAGCAAACGGG
Molecule: ribosomal RNA, 253 nt
Filed under: uncultured bacterium
Lineage: Bacteria
Description: partial 16S ribosomal RNA
Rfam family: Bacterial small subunit ribosomal RNA
Source: RNAcentral